Molecule: long non-coding RNA, 793 nt
Organism: Bubalus bubalis (water buffalo)
Lineage: Eukaryota; Metazoa; Chordata; Mammalia; Artiodactyla; Bovidae
Exons: 2
Source: RefSeq, a predicted model, not a curated record
CCCAAAGCACAACAGUGAGGAACUGUUCGCGCCCGGCCUCUCCACGCCCGCAGCCGCCAACUCCCGAUUCCUAAACUACUACUCGCUACGUGAACCAGGGGGAAAGACAGCAGAAACAAGUGGCUUCCAGCCAGGCAGCCGAGCAGGAGACCUGGUGGAGCGUUGGUUACCUGCAGCGAGUGCCUGGCCCGGAAGACGCUGGAGGCUGCUGGGCAGCAAGGGGACGCUCCCGCCCGGCGCUGCUCCGCGCUAGGCUGACUGAACUCUUGGCGCCGGAGGACCGCGCGGCCGGGUCUCGGGCCGCCCACCCUCGCGCCCGUGCGCCACGCCCCUGGGCCCGCCCCUCUAGGCCCCGCCCAGCGCAUCCCUGCUUCGCAGACCUCUGCUGCCUGGGCCUUCUGGCCCAAGUCAGCGCGCCCUCUGGGCAUUUCGUUGUCUGGUGGAAGUGCUUGACUGCGUGCUUCCUCUUUCUCCUUCCUUAGGUUGACUUGGGUUCUUAGUUGGUAGAACCGAUUAGGGACUGAGCACUUGAGUGGGGUCUUCAGAAUUUUAUACCCCCUUCCUGGGAGGCAGGAACCGCGGGAAGCGCUGCCUUUUCUUAUUUUAAAAACAGGGUUUACAACCAAAGGAAAAAAAAAAAUUCCGGAGGUCUUUAUAUUGUGUUAAAAUUAGGUAUGACCAUUGGGUUUGUUUGUUUUCCGUGAUGAGAGACGUCUACAGGGUCCUGUGGGUCUCCUGAACACAAGGCCUUUCUGUGUCCCCCAGUUCUUUGAUUAUAGGAAACUGCCUCCAU